AUGAUGCUCCCAUUUAGAGAACAAAGGAGGUUAAAGCAGGCGAUGCUUCAGGGAGACCUUGACAAGUCGCUACCUGAGCUCUGUCUUCUUGUCCAAACAUGGUCGCUUCCAUUCGCUCCCAUUGAGAAAAGCAAGGAUGCUGUGAUAUGAUUCAAAGCUCAUGGAGAAAGUUACCUCGACAAACUGAAGCUGAGAUCACUAUUUCCCCGGCCAAGAUAGAAUGUUUAUGUUUAGCAGGAAGUGUUUUUUUCGGUCCACCCAACUGAGUUAUUGCUAUUUUUGUGAAAAUAUUUUUCAUGACUGAAACAACUAAAUGCAAUUACCUGCAGUGCAGCGUUGGAAAUAGUUUGCAUAUUGUCUCAUGUAACCGUUGCACGUUGGGGGUGUGUUUAAUUCCACAGGGCUGAGCCAGAUAUGCUGAACUUGGCAGCCUUGAAUACAGUGUUUUUCGAUUUUCCCUUUACAUUGCACUUUUGUUCAGAGAUGUUUGGAGUUUUUUUGUGAGUUUAAAAGCAGUCAUAAGACACAUGUUUUUCUUUGAUUGGAUGAAUCUUCUAUUUGAGGAGAGUUUCUCCUCAGUCCGGAGUUACGCUGAAUUUAUAAUAACAACUUCUCAGUUGUGUAAGGCUUUUUAAAUCACUUGUCACUAGCGUUUCAGAGAAAGAGGCACCUCUGUUUUUGUAUAAAGUUUACACCCCCACCAGCACUUUGCAGUAUAUACAAUUAGAUCUGAAUCCUCGCUUGAAAUUACCUACUUCCCUUUCUUUACGUGGGUGUGUGGUGAUUGAUACCAAGAAGUAAGACAAAAUAUGCAGCAGCAAAAUAUGAGUAAAACCAACGUUCUCUGUGUUCACGGUGAUGAAUUAGCCUCUUUUAUUGGAGGUGGAAUGCUUGACAGCCGCAAAUAGCUUCAUCUGAAGGAGGAAUACACGCUUAUAAAGAACUGUAUGCUACAGUAUUUCCAACCAUGCUGAUUGUGUCCAAAAUCCACUGCGGCGUUAUCGUCAAUGCAAAAGCAGGCAAACCCUUUGUUGUUCUCUUGUUCCUCAUGUUUUCACUUGAUUGCAUUCUGACUUCUGCAAGCUGAAUAAAGUCGGAUGUUAUUUGGUUAAUUUACUGAGAGGAGGUGGGUCUGUUGCUGCUGCUGCUGCUAAUCACUCAGCUGUCACAACGAAGCACAGCAACAGAACAAAUGGACUUAAAGGCGGCAGCAUUUGUUUAGAAAAGCUCAGCCCAUAAAUACACGACUGGGAAGCAAAGACUGCGAUGUACUAUUCAGAAUAGAGCUUCUAAAGCUUGACCCGCAGUUCAGUUAUGUAGCCGUUCACACAAUGAGGUGAUUCGCCAGUCACACACGGCUCGCCACUUAGCGUUUCAUCUAAUUUCCUUUCCUUCAUCUGAAGAUGAAUCUAAAACCACUUUGAGAAAACAUCUUUCCUUCACCUUCACCCCGAUCAUGCCUGGCAUACCUGAAUGUUAUCUCAGUUGCAGAUGCAGAUUACAUUAUGCUCAGCAAAUAAGCUCCUGACUGUUGGUUAUUUUAUAUUCCUUAUCUA
Long non-coding RNA from Gasterosteus aculeatus (three-spined stickleback), 1556 nucleotides. NCBI's taxonomy places the organism in Eukaryota, Metazoa, Chordata, Actinopteri, Perciformes, Gasterosteidae. The record is from Ensembl.